This is a long non-coding RNA of Danio aesculapii, 2088 nucleotides long. RefSeq lists it as uncharacterized. NCBI's taxonomy places the organism in Eukaryota, Metazoa, Chordata, Actinopteri, Cypriniformes, Danionidae. The record is from RefSeq and is a predicted model, not a curated record. The transcript has 2 exons.
UUAUUGUGGUGUCAAGUUGAAAGCUUUGAUAUCAGACAGUCAUUUGCUUUAAUCUACACCGUCUCAGUCACCCAUACCUACAAGAAUACUGUAGGAAAGUGUUGAUUCUUUUGUUCUUCAACUGUUGUGUGUUUGUUUGUUUGUUUGCAACAGACGACUCUUUAUCAAUUAGCAGGUUCUUUCAUUCAGCAAUUGGUGCGCAGGUGGGCUGUUCUCGCUUUGAUGAUUUCGUCUUGGCUCUUGUUGAGAUUCAACAAUAGGACACAUCUGAACCGUCCAGGUCACUGGGUCUGUUUUUGGCAGGACAGAAUCUUACUGAAGAUCCCAGCAGACCUUAUAAGUUCUGGAAAAUGUCUCACUCGCAGCAUCACCCUUGACAGCUGUCUGCAGGCUCGAGGCUAAGAGACUUAUAAAAAUAGAUGAAGGUUGUGGUCGUUUGUGUUUGAUGGAGAUGGCUGAGAGAUUGUUUUCUCUGCUCACGUCCAGGGAAAUUCCUGAGACAUCCGUCUGCACAGAAAUGCAGUGCAGACCGCAGAAGCGCCUCCUGUCCACCAGAGGUCUUUACUGCAUCAUGGAGACAAAACAGGGGUGGGGGAUAAUUUGAGUUCCUCACAUUAUAGACCAAUUACCAUGUUUGUAAACAUUCAGGAUGCUCUCGCAGGGAGGUGGCAGAAAGAAACCGGGAGCGCUAGCAUUUACAGUGAGGGAAUGAAAUCUGAUGUGGUACAGAGUUUGUUGUCUUAGAAAUAAGAUAUAUUGAUUACACAUUAUAUAUAUUAUUUACAUAAUGCUUUCAGCGUAUUGUAACAGCUCGUCACCCAGUGAUAAGUACAGUGAUUCAGCAAAAUUAACGUUAAAGUGAGUGGCGUUCAUCUAACAGCUCCAUUUGCGAUAGCACGCUCCCAAUGGAUAUUGGAUAAGACCAAAUGACCAAGCAUCUAGCCUCACAUAUACAAUCUCAUUGAAGGUCCAAGUGAUUUUACAAGAGAGAAGUUAAAGAUCUACAAGUCUUUGGAUGCCAACAGUGUUGUGGUGUGUGGUCAUGUGCAUGAAAUAAUGCUCCAGGAUGACCAGAUUCAACACUAUGUAGUGCUAAAAACCGAGGUUCUGCUUAGCCAAAAACAAGGAAAGAACAAGAAUUAACGUUUUACAAGGCCAGAGUAAUUAAUCACCAACAUGCAAAACGACACCAUUCUGACAGCAAACUGCAGCUGUACAGCAGGGUAUGUGAACUUACACAUAGAGGUAAAGCUGGUUUAUUAUUCGCACAUUCAGACUUUUUCCUUAAUAAUAUAAUUUCAUCAAAGUAUUAUUUGCAAACUCUAAAUAGCGAAAUCAUAUUAGCAGCCAAUGACUAUCAAAGUACAACAUUGGUCACAGUCAAAUAAACAGUGUUAAUGUUGUUUUCAAGUCACACUGCAGGUUAUUUCAGACCGAAUAUUCAAAGGGCUGUGGUAAACGAUAUAGGGAGAGUGUCACAAGCUGUCACUGAAUGAAUAAGUGAAUAUAAAACCAAGUUUACCUUAAUAACUUACACUUUCACGUUUCAUUCUGAGCAUUCAGUGUCCGCAGUUUAAUUAACCAUAUUGAACUGUUUCUGCUGAAAUCAUUUCUGCAAUCAAAAACCAGUAAUGUGUCUGAUUCAGCAUAGCGUGAGCUUACCUGAUAUUACAGGAGAACUGCAGAGUCCAGCAUUUCUAAUUAGGUCGUCACUUCAUUCAGCUCCCUUUUAGCCAAAGACAUCUGCAGUUAGCCUUAAAGCAGUGUGGUGUACGGUAAACGUAAAAGUUUUCUAUUUUUGUACUCUCGAAUUUGGCAUCCUACCGCACAACACGACAUCUUUACUAUUGCAGCCUGUGUUUUUUUUGCAACCAGGGACCCGUGUUACGUUUUUACACUGCCUUUUCAUUCGUGUUAAACUGCGUGAUAUACUGAAUAUGGUCUACAGUCUGGCUUUAUUUUCUACUCUUCAUGCAUGUUAAACUGCUUUGACACAGUCUACAUUGUAAAAGAGCUGUAGAAAUAUAGAUAGACAUGUGUCAAUGCCUGAACUGAUACUUAUAAGGCCAAUAAACUGGCAAUAUAUUA